UACGGAGGGUGCAAGCGUUAUCCGGAUUCACUGGGUUUAAAGGGUGCGUAGGUGGGCAGGUAAGUCAGUGGUGAAAUCUCCGAGCUUAACUCGGAAACUGCCGUUGAUACUAUUUGUCUUGAAUAUUGUGGAGGUAAGCGGAAUAUGUCAUGUAGCGGUGAAAUGCUUAGAUAUGACAUAGAACACCAGUUGCGAAGGCAGCUUACUAAACAACGAUUGACGCUGAGGCACGAAAGCGUGGGGAUCAAACAGG
Molecule: ribosomal RNA, 253 nt
Filed under: uncultured bacterium
Lineage: Bacteria
Description: partial 16S ribosomal RNA
Rfam family: Bacterial small subunit ribosomal RNA
Source: RNAcentral